UACGUAGGGUGCAAGCGUUAAUCGGAAUUACUGGGCGUAAAGCGUGCGCAGGCGGCUAUGCAAGACAGAUGUGAAAUCCCCGGGCUUAACCUGGGAACUGCAUUUGUGACUGCAUGGCUAGAGUACGGUAGAGGGGGAUGGAAUUCCGGCGUGUAGCAGUGAAAUGCGUAGAUAUGCGGAGGAACACCGAUGGCGAAGGCAAUCCCCCUGGGCCUGUACUGACGCUCAUGCACGAAAGCGUGGGGAGCAAACAGG
Molecule: ribosomal RNA, 255 nt
Filed under: uncultured bacterium
Lineage: Bacteria
Description: partial 16S ribosomal RNA
Rfam family: Bacterial small subunit ribosomal RNA
Source: RNAcentral